This 253-nucleotide ribosomal RNA is filed under the name uncultured bacterium. Its description in RNAcentral is "partial 16S ribosomal RNA". It matches the Rfam family "Bacterial small subunit ribosomal RNA", at positions 524 to 776 of the family's 1533-position model. The record is from RNAcentral.
UACGUAGGUGACAAGCGUUGUCCGGAAUUAUUGGGCGUAAAGGGAGCGCAGGCGGUUGGAAUAGUCUGAUGUGAAAGCCCACGGCUUAACCGUGGAAGGUCAUUGGAAACUGUCCAACUUGAAUGCAGAAGAGGAAAGCGGAAUUCCAUGUGUAGUGGUGAAAUACGUAGAGAUAUGGAAGAACACCAGUGGCGAAGGCGGCUUUCUGGUCUGAAAUUGACGCUGAGGCUCGAAAGCGUGGGGAGCAAACAGG